RNAcentral lists this ribosomal RNA (440 nucleotides) under Candidatus Kappaea frigidicola. RNAcentral describes it as "bacterial SSU rRNA". It matches the Rfam family "Bacterial small subunit ribosomal RNA", at positions 1 to 403 of the family's 1533-position model. The record is from RNAcentral. Lineage: Bacteria; Pseudomonadati; Candidatus Omnitrophota.
AAACAUGAGAGUUUGAUCCUGGCUCAGAACGAACGCUGGCGGCGUGGAUUAGGCAUGCAAGUCGAACGAGAUCCCCAUUUUAAAAUACUUUCGGGUAUUUUAUCGGGGUGAGAGUGGCGCAAGGGUGAGUAACGCGUGAGUAAUUUGCCCUCAAGCUCAGGAUAACUCGCCGAAAGGCGGGCUAAUACUGAAUAAGACCACGAACGGACAUCCGUAUGUGGUAAAAGAUGGCUUAGUUCUUUGAACGCUAUCACUUGUGGAUGAGCUCGCGUCCUAUCAGCUUGUUGGUAAGGUAAAAGCUUACCAAGGCAUUUGACGGGUAGCUGGUCUGAGAGGAUGGUCAGCCACACUGGGACUGAGACACUGCCCAGACUCCUACGGGAGGCUGCAGUCGAGAAUCUUUGGCAAUGGACGAAAGUCUGACCAUGCGACGCCGCGUG